Molecule: ribosomal RNA, 400 nt
Filed under: uncultured bacterium
Lineage: Bacteria
Description: bacterial SSU rRNA
Rfam family: Bacterial small subunit ribosomal RNA
Source: RNAcentral
UAGGGAAUUUUCCACAAUGGGCGAAAGCCUGAUGGAGCAACGCCGCGUGCAGGAUGAAUGCCUUCGGGUUGUAAACUGCUUUUCUCUGUGACGAAUAUGACGGUAACAGAGGAAUAAGGAUCGGCUAAUUCCGUGCCAGCAGCCGCGGUCAUACGGAAGAUCCAAGCGUUAUCCGGAAUUACUGGGCGUAAAGAGUUGCGUAGGUGGCAGAGUAAGUAGAUAGUGAAAGCGUGUGGCUCAACCAUACUCACAUUGUCUAAACUGCUCAGCUAGAGAGUGAGAGAGGUAGCUGGAAUUCCUAGUGUAGGGGUAAAAUCCGUUGAUAUUAGGAGGAACACCGAUGGCGUAGGCAGGCUACUGGCUCAUUUCUGACACUAAGGCACGAAAGCGUGGGGAGCAA